AGCUAACAUCGGUUAGAAGCAGGGACCAAAUGGUGACGAGUUGUUAUUGAACCUAACAUACUGGAACAGAAUAAAAAACCAUGAGCCUUCUUUUUGGGUGGGGAUUCGGACGAAUAGCUGACAUUGAUUGCACUUGACCGAGACUGAAAUAGGUCUCUCAAAAGAUUCAUUUCCUCUUCCUUUUGUGGGGUUGGGAGUGAUAUUUCUUCUUGUAGAUAUGCUUGUUCAAGAGAAUCGAUUAGCUUCAUCUCAAUUUUUUACUUAUUUUUAAUUAAAAUUUCUUCAGGGACUUCCUCCAAGAUCAACG
This 307-nucleotide unclassified non-coding RNA is filed under the name Hevea brasiliensis (rubber tree). Lineage: Eukaryota; Viridiplantae; Streptophyta; Magnoliopsida; Malpighiales; Euphorbiaceae. The record is from RNAcentral.